This 845-nucleotide ribosomal RNA is filed under the name uncultured feedlot manure bacterium B2. RNAcentral's name for it is "bacterial SSU rRNA". It matches the Rfam family "Bacterial small subunit ribosomal RNA", at positions 196 to 1064 of the family's 1533-position model. Lineage: Bacteria; Bacillati; Bacillota. The record is from RNAcentral.
CCAAUYCMAAGAMCUCGGUGAAAGAUGCCUCCCGACCAUUAGCUAGUUGGUGAGGUAAAGGCUCMCCCAGGCGACGAUGGGUAACCGCCCUGAGAGGUUGAACGUUCACACUGGAACUGAGACACGGUCCAGACUCCUACGGGAGGCAGCAGUGGGGAAUAUUGCACAAUGGAGGAAACUCUGAUGCAGCGACSCCGCGUGAGUGAUGAAGGUCUUCGGAUCGUAAAACUYUGUCCUAGGGGAAGAUAGUGACGGUACCUUAGGAGGAAGCCCCGGCUAACUACGUGCCAGCAGCCGCGGUAAUACGUAGGGGGCAAGCGUUAUCCGGAAUUAUUGGGCGUAAAGGGUUCGCAGGCGGUUAUCCAAGUCAGGUGUGAAAUCCCGAGGCUUAACCUCGGUAAGCAUUUGAAACUGGAUAGCUUGAGUUAAGGAGAGGAAAGCGGAAUUCCUAGUGUAGCGGUGAAAUGCGUAGAUAUUAGGAGGAAUACCAGUAGCGAAGGCGACUUUCUGGCCUUAAACUGACGCUGAGGAACGAAAGCGUGGGUAGCAAACAGGAUUAGAUACCCUGGUAGUCCACGCCGUAAACGAUGAGUGCUAGGUGUUGGGAGUCAAAUUUCAGUGCCGCCGCAAACGCAUUAAGCACUCCGCCUGGGGAGUACGUGCACAAGCAUGAAACUCAAAGGAAUUGACGGGGGCCCGCACAAGCAGCGGAGCAUGUGGUUUAAUUCGAAGCAACGCGAAGGAACCUUACCAGGGCUUGGAMAUCUWCUUGGCUUAGCUUAGAGAUAAGCUWUUUUCUUCCGGAAACGGGUAGAMAGGUGGUGCAUGGUKGUCGUCAGCUCGUG